Molecule: ribosomal RNA, 626 nt
Filed under: uncultured Cortinariaceae
Lineage: Eukaryota; Fungi; Basidiomycota; Agaricomycetes; Agaricales; Cortinariaceae
Description: eukaryotic LSU rRNA
Rfam family: 5.8S ribosomal RNA (bases 105-258)
Source: RNAcentral
CUUUGCCUUGUCAUUUUCAGGUCCUAUGUCUUUUUUCACAACCUCUUUAAACAUGUUCAGAAUGUUGGAUCAGGUCUUUUUGUACCUAUAGAAAUGAAAUAUCCAACUUUCAGCAACGGAUCUCUUGGCUCUCGCAUCGAUGAAGAACGCAGCGAAAUGCGAUAAGUAAUGUGAAUUGCAGAAUUCAGUGAAUCAUCGAAUCUUUGAACGCAUCUUGCGCUCCUUGGUAUUCCGAGGAGCAUGCCUGUUUGAGUGUCAUUUAACUUCUCAACCACAUCAGAUGAAAUUUUUUUUUGAUUGUGGCUUGGACUUGGGAGUUGUAUGCAGGCCUAAUAAGGUCGGCUCUCCUGAAAUGUAUUAGUGGUAUCUGAGGCUAUUGCUAUAGGUGUGAUAAUUUAUCUAUGCCUUUGGUAUUGCUGCAUGAACAGAUUACACUGCUUCUAACAAAGAAAAAAAACUUGACAAAUUUGACCUCAAAUCAGGUAGGACUACCCGCUGAACUUAAGCAUAUCAAUAAGCGGAGGAAAAGAACCUAACAAGGAUUCCCCUAGUAACUGCGAGUGAAGCGGGAAAAGCUCAAAUUUGAAAUCUGGCAGUUUCUUGAACUGUCCGAAUUGUAAUCUAGA